This 3012-nucleotide long non-coding RNA is filed under the name Erythranthe guttata (spotted monkey flower). Its description in RNAcentral is "long non-coding RNA (EGUT_LNC002039)". The record is from RNAcentral. Lineage: Eukaryota; Viridiplantae; Streptophyta; Magnoliopsida; Lamiales; Phrymaceae.
GCUUGAAUGAAUAGCAUAAAUAAAUCUUUCAAAAAUUAUUGAAGCGCCACCAUAAAUCUUUUAACUAUUGAAUUCGUCCGGGCACAAGAAUGUUGGAAACUGUCGUUUUCGUGCAUCCAAAUCCUCAAGAGGUUAGUGAUAGUCGGAUUUUAUGCUCAAAUUUAUUGGGUUUUUUUAUAAGGUUCUUAGUGUUUUUAUUUGUUUGGUAAUGAAGUAGGAUUUCGUCUCCAGGCACGCAAUUUUAAUUUGUUUGCUUAUAAUUUGAGGAUUUCUUAAUUCGCUGUUUAUUUAUUUUAUUUUUUAAUUGGGGUUAGCGAUUUCUCCAGAUUUCGUUGAAAUGUUAUUCAGAAAUUAAUGUUCACGUAUUAUUACCAACAACCCUGUUUCCAAGUAAGAUCCAAAAUUUAUAGCAAACAUCUCCUGUUUUAAUCUUUUUUUUAUUGUUCAAUUUAUAUAUAUAUAUAUAUAUAUAUAUAUAUAUAUAUAUAUAUAUAUAUAUAUAUACAUAUAUAUAUAUAUAUAUAUAUAUAUAUUAUAUAUAUGCGUGUGUUAUAUUAUAUAAUAUGAGAUGAAUGCAUCACAUUAAGCUCUCACAAAUAUGACCCACAUGAUUAUUAGUAGAAAAUGAAGGAGAAAAAGAUGAAUGGAAAUGAUACAUAGGUUUUUUUUCCCCAGGUAAAUGAUACAUAUGUUAAAUCGAAAUACAUAUACUUUUUGGUUCAUUUAUGUCCACACUAAAUUUUUUUCCCACAACGACACUGCAAUUAUAUUAUUGUGUAUUUUUUUUUCCAGGUGCAAUAUAUGGGUUAGUCUAAUUAUUAUUGCUUCAAAUUCAGACCGUACAUAUUAAGAUCUACCAUGAGGCUCAACCACAUAUUCUCUACUAUUAAGGAAGUAUAUUUCAAUAUUAUUUUACAUAUAUUUGGUGUUUAAUUUAUUUAUUUUUCGAUAAGGUAUGUAUUGAAUCUUAUUCUAUAUACGUGCAUAAAGAAAUAUAACGAUGCACCUUAAUGGGAAAGCAAAAAAAUUCUUUUAUAUUAAUAUGCCCUUAUAGUUUUAUAACCUUAUUUUCACAAUUUAGAUGACAUUGUUUUUAGAAGUAAAUUGCAUUAGUAUAAGUUUGUUUGUGUUUGUGUUUUGAUUGUCGGGGAAGUUUGUAACAUCAAAUAAUAGUUAAGUUUUAGAAAUGAUAUCUAAGUUUUAUAUUAGUAGUAGUUAGAGAUGUUCGAAUCGAUGAUGUUCAUGAGUUUGGACAAAAUAUGUUUUUGGUUGCGUAAUUUGUAUUGAUUUCUUUUUCUUUUUAUUUCUUUCGUUGUAAUUUUUUUCUUUCAUCAUGGACUGCUAGGAAGAAUGAUUGUACGACAUGGUAUAUAUAAUUUCUCAACCGCAUAGGCAUUUCCUGUGAAUCUGUCUUUUUAAUAAUUUUAAAUUUAACAAAAUGUUGACAUCUUUUAACAAAAGUGUUGGCAUCUCUAUAUAUGUGGAUCAGCACUUCCACUGAAUUUAUAUGGCUGAUAUAGUUAAUUCAUUUGACAGGUGGCAGGUGCAAAUAUGCAGUUCACUAACAAAUUCAUUUUAGGAUGACAAGUAAUCUAAUACAUCUCCUCUAUUUUUUAAUCUUUGCUCGCGUGAUGAAGAACAUGGUUAUGUAAUACAAAAUAGUCUAUUGUGGUUCUAUACCUCUAAAUGGAUAAAUUGUUGGUGUAUGCAGGGAACACUUCAACUGUUUUACAUCCCCAACAUGUGAAUGCAAGCCCGAUUUCCCCGUUGUAUCUCCAUAUCCUUCUCUGAAAUAACCUAUGGUAUUGUCAGCUAUUCACUUCAAAUUCAGUUUAUUUGCCCAGCAUAUUGUAUUCCAAUUUAUGCCAAAACAAUUUCAGAUAUUGAUUAUUCAUAGUGCUCUAAUUUGUUAGUAUUAAUCUUCAGAUAUUUUUUUUUACGAUUUUAAUUGCUACCAUUUAUGCGUUUUUGUUGAUGGAAUUUUAUUUCUUAAUCAAAGUAUGUUGAACCCUAUUCCGGUCUCCAUCUCAGCAAAUAAGGUCUUCUCCAAAAAAGUGAAUCAGGAUUCGCUCAAGGGCUACGACUUUUCAUACAUGCUAUAACUGUGAUCGAGCAUCUUAUCCAAAAUAUAUAUGUAAUAAAUUUUUUUUUCUAUGAUUUUUCCAGGAAUCAACACGACUGCUUCCUACAUCAGUUCACCGUUGAUUACAAGCUUCGUCAACUUCGUAUCGGCAGAUGACGAAAACUCAAAAUGGCACCCAGUAUGAUUCUCACAUUCAUUUUCUUUACCGCAUAGUGUGUAGAGUCACUCUCUCAGAGGUAAUGGUAUUUUGGUGCUCAUCGUAUUGGAAUCGGAGUUUGAAAACUUGUCCACAAUUUGUAUUUUUUUAAAUUUACAAAGUUUAUUUUCAUAUUUUCGAUAAAGCGAAUUACAACUUUGAAUCCCACUGCACAGUUCAAAGUUCAUAUUAGUAUUUUUGGUUAUAUGAUAUACAUUAGAACCAAAUUUUGGUAAUUAAUUAAGAUUUUCACAAAGAUGGGUUUGGUUUUAAUUAUGUUUUUUCAAAUGUUAGGUUGAGCAAUUUGUUAUUUUAGUAUUCUUUAAGGUUGAGCAAGUAACUGCAUUAGAAUAUUUUAGUUUCUAUUUAGUGUGGUUCAAGUCGUACAGUAAAUUUUAUUAUGACUUAGAAUCCUCAUAAACUUAAAAAACCUAACUCACCCGUUGAACACUUUGCCAGGGCUUCCCAAGAUGUGAAUCUUGAUUUUGUUGCAGAUGCAUUUGCCAAGAGGAAAAGUAGCAAGGGGCAACAAGUAUUCAAAUUUUGACUUCAUCAAGCGACUCCAGAGGCGAAGCAUCAGUGCUCGAAUUUGAAACACUUACAAAUGGAAGGACAUGAUAGUAUAAUUUUUCUUACGAUUACUGAAUUGUUUUUAGUACUAUAUACAUUGAUUUAUGGAUUCGUAUUUAGGUAAUUUUAUGUUACUGCAAAAUGUAUUUAAUUGAAAUAAAUU